Molecule: long non-coding RNA, 670 nt
Organism: Gorilla gorilla gorilla (western lowland gorilla)
Lineage: Eukaryota; Metazoa; Chordata; Mammalia; Primates; Hominidae
Exons: 3
Source: RefSeq, a predicted model, not a curated record
CUGUUUAUCAACACAAAGGAUCAAUUUAGGAAGAUUAUAAAAACUGAAGUUUCUGGAACAAUAAAUGGGAGAAUUAAUCGUUUGAACUGCAUGGGUUCACUUGUACAUGGAUUUUCUUCAGCCUCUGCCACCUCUGAGACAGCAAGGCCAACCCCUCCUCUUCCUCAGCCUAUACAACAUGAAAAUGAUAAGACUUGUAUUAUGAUCCACUUAAUGAAGAUUCUAAAUCAAGGAUGUAUCCCUGAAUCUGGGGAGCUCUCUAUCAAAAUAUACAUGCUGGAACCCUACCAAAGGAAUAAUAAAUCUGGAAUGAGGCUCUGACUGUCUAAUUAGGAAAAGACUCCUUCCUGGAAUUCUGCACAUCUCCCUACACCUUAGUGACGGUUAAAUAAAUAAUUAUUAAGCUUCUGGAUAUUUUUUGUUGUAAGGUUAGGUGUUUCAUGGGUUGGGGGGAGGGGCAGUAACAUUAAAAUAAAAGUCCCAAAUGUAAAGUGCAAAGAAUCUUGAGUCUAUUCUCUAUACCCUACACUUCCUGCCUUUCCCCCACACAAAUCCAACCCUAAAUAUAAUAGGACAAUAUAUAAAUACAUAUUUUUUAAGAGAUAGGGUCUCACCAUCUUGCCCAGGCUGGUCUUAAGCUCAAGCAGUCCUCCCACAUCAACAUCCUGAG